Molecule: long non-coding RNA, 943 nt
Organism: Dreissena polymorpha
Lineage: Eukaryota; Metazoa; Mollusca; Bivalvia; Myida; Dreissenidae
Exons: 4
Source: RefSeq, a predicted model, not a curated record
CUUUCUGAAAGGCGCUUAUACAGUCAAUCGUCUGAUAAUGCUGACGUACCGGCGUUCGCGGAAGAAACGUGUCUGUGUUAUUUUAAUUAUAGAAUACAAAUAAUUAUGGGAUAAUAAAGUGAUCAGCCUAAAUUAACUAAACAUCAUGCCAAUGAUCCGGAAGCUUCUAUUAAAACUGUGUACAAGGGGAAAAGCCGGCGAACAGUAGGCCUACAUGUCACCGAGAAGUGGGGCAGUAGGCAAAAGCUUGGAACGCAAUCACAAGAACUUGCAGAAGUUCAGAUUGAGAAUGAGAAACCAGAAACAAAUUUAAUUGCUAACUGUACUACAAAUAGCAGUUCAGUAUCAGACGUAGAUACUUCGGUUACAUUUGAUGAAAAUAUAAGAUACGAUACUGAAAAGGCCAAACGUCUUGAAGAAUGGAAAAGUAUAUCUCCAGAAAUUAUGUCUGCUUAUGUACAAAUGCAGACACCCAAUAAGCGACAAUGUGCUGAUUGUUGUCUCUCCACAGAUGAACUGUACAGGUGUUGUGAUUGCUGUUCAUGGGAGACUACGUGCCUCACAUGCUUGCGGUUGAGGCAUAAACAUCCUCAUCUGCAUUUGGAAGAACAUGGCUUACCUUUCUUUCAUUGAUGAUGAUGAGGCUUGGAAAUUGAAUGACCAUUCCUGUAGCACUACUUACCUGAAAAAACUUGUGGUCGUGGAUGAUAAAGGUCGACAGCAUUUGAAGACCCUGCAAUUUUGCAAGUGUGAAGUUGAAGCUGUACGCUUGAUUAGGUUCAACCUGUGGCCAUCUUCAACCAAAUUUCCAAACGUGGCAUUUCACUUUGACUUCAUGCGCUGGUUAUGUGGUCUUCUUCUUGAAAGCUCGGUGUCAUUUAAAAGUUUCUGCUCCGCAUUAGACGCGUGGACAUCAAAGCACAUGAAGACAUAUAUUCAUCAC